AGUGAACGCUGGCGGUAGGCCUAACACAUGCAAGUCGAACGGCAGCACAGUAAGAGCUUGCUCUUACGGGUGGCGAGUGGCGGAUGGCUGAGGAAUACAUCGGAAUCUACUUUUUCGUGGGGGAUAACGUAGGGAAACUAACGCUAAUACCGCAUACGACCUACGGGUGAAAGCAGGGGACCUUCGGACCUUGCGCGAUUGAAUGAGCCGAUGUCGGAUUAGCUAGUUGGCGGGGUAAAGGCCCACCAAGGCGACGAUCCGUAGCUGGUCUGAGAGGAUGAUCAGCCACACUGGAACUGAGACACGGUCCAGACUCCUACGAGAGGCAGCAGUGGGGAAUGUUGGACAAUGGGCGCAAGCCUGAUCCAGCCAUACCGCGUGGGUGAAGAAGGACUUCGGGUUGUAAAGCCCCUUUGUUGGGAGAGAAAAGCAGCAGGUUAAAACCCCGCUGUUCUGACGGUACCCAAAGAAUAAGCACCGGCUAACUUCGUG
This 492-nucleotide ribosomal RNA is filed under the name uncultured bacterium. Its description in RNAcentral is "partial 16S ribosomal RNA". It matches the Rfam family "Bacterial small subunit ribosomal RNA", at positions 29 to 507 of the family's 1533-position model. The record is from RNAcentral.